UCACCCUGCUAACUAGAGUCAGACAUGAGUCAUCUGUUUUCUGGUUAAAACAUUUUCAGUGAAAUAAGCAUUAACUAUAAUGAAUUAACUUUAUGAAAUAUUUUUAAGCUUAUAAUAAUUUCAAGGCCUUUAUUAGCAGACAACUGGUAGAAAUAUUACUGUAUUUUACUUUAAAUUGAUCAUAUCAAGUUUGAGCAUAAAUUAACACAUUGUAUCUUUCCCAGUAUCAUAAAGGAAAGCUCUGGUCUUCACUGCACAUUGCUAUGUGACGGGGCCUACAAGAAUGCUUUUAACUGAAGCUUUCAAAGGGUGAAGCGCACUUUUGUGAGGAAAAUGAUAGCUGACAAGUGAUUUGGGCAAAGAGGACACCAAAGAAACAAGACUCUCUAAACACAAGAGGACAGUCACACAGGUGAAUUCACAGAGACUGUGGCACCAUGCACAGGGACUUCACAGGCACAGGAAAGAUGUCCUAAUGCUGAGAGGGUAAGUGGACAUAUGUCCCCGUCCCUAACUCAGAAGCUGUCUCCAAUUGAUAACCACUCACAAAUGAAAACUUAGUUCUCUCCAACAGUCUCACUGGGGAUACAAACCACUCUUAAGCACAGGCCCCAUGCCCAGAAGAAGAUGGCCAACAGCAAAUGUCCUCAGUGGCAUCUUUGGAGGUUCUUUGUCUCAUAAAGUUUUGUCAUAGCUCUUUUUUUUUUUUAACCUUACAGAUCCUUUGCAUAUGUUCAAAUGGCUUCAGUUUUUCUGUUUUUAUGGGAUUCCUUUGGGUAUAAAUGUGUUUGUCUCCUUG
Peromyscus eremicus (cactus mouse) is the source of this 799-nucleotide long non-coding RNA. RefSeq lists it as uncharacterized. The record is from RefSeq and is a predicted model, not a curated record. Lineage: Eukaryota; Metazoa; Chordata; Mammalia; Rodentia; Cricetidae. The transcript is spliced from 2 exons.